AAAGGCUUGGUCCUGACUUUACUAUUAGCUACAGCCCAAAUUAUACAUGCAAGUAUCCGCACCCCUGUGAGAAUGCCCUCAAUCCCCUGCCCGGGGACGAGGGGCCGGUAUCAGGCACACCCAAAUUGCCCAAGACGCCUUGCCAUGCCACACCCCCAAGGGACUUCAGCAGUAAUAAACAUUAAGCCAUAAGUGAAAACUUGACUUAGUUAGGGUUAUUAGGGUCGGUAAAAUUCGUGCCAGCCACCGCGGUUAUACGAAAGACCCCAGUUAAUAGCUCCGGCGUAAAGGGUGGUUAAGGAAGAUAAGCAAUAAAGCCAAAGCCCUUCUAGGCCGUUAUACGCACUCCGAAGGCGCGAGACCCACACACGAAAGUAGCUUUAAACCCCUCCUGACUCCACGAAAGCUAAGAAACAAACUGGGAUUAGAUACCCCACUAUGCUUAGCCUUAAACCUAGACAUUAUUUUACACACAUGUCCGCCAGGGCACUACGAGCACAGCUUAAAACCCAAAGGACUUGGCGGUGUCUCAGACCCACCUAGAGGAGCCUGUUCUAGAACCGAUAACCCCCGUUAAACCUCACCACUCCUUGUUUUCUCCGCCUAUAUACCGCCGUCGUCAGCUUACCCUGUGAAGGCCCAACAGUAAGCAAAAUGGGUGCGCCCAAAAACGUCAGGUCGAGGUGUAGCGUAUGAAGUGGGAAGAAAUGGGCUACAUUUUCUAAAUACAGAACAUUACGAACAGUGCCUUGAAAACAGGCGCUAGAAGGUGGAUUUAGUAGUAAAAAACAAAUAGAGAGUCCUUUUGAAUUAGGCUCUGAGACGCGCACACACCGCCCGUCACUCUCCCCCUCUUUAACCUAAACACACACAUUAUAUAUAAUUUGACCGCUUAACCCCCGGGGAGGCAAGUCGUAACAUGGUAAGUGUACCGGAAGGUGCACUUGGAAUAA
Molecule: non-coding RNA, 953 nt
Filed under: Ompok pabda (Pabdah catfish)
Lineage: Eukaryota; Metazoa; Chordata; Actinopteri; Siluriformes; Siluridae
Description: 12S ribosomal RNA
Rfam family: Bacterial small subunit ribosomal RNA
Source: RNAcentral